RNAcentral lists this ribosomal RNA (409 nucleotides) under uncultured bacterium. RNAcentral's name for it is "bacterial SSU rRNA". It matches the Rfam family "Bacterial small subunit ribosomal RNA", at positions 64 to 507 of the family's 1533-position model. The record is from RNAcentral.
GAACGAGAAAGUCCGCAAGGAAGAGUAAAGUGGCGACCGGGUGAGUAACACGUGACUAACCUACCUCCGAGUGGGGAAUAACUCCGGGAAACCGGGGCUAAUACCGCAUAACAUCGCGAGAUCAAAGCAGCAAUGCGCUUGGAGAGGGGGUCGCGGCUGAUUAGCUAGUUGGCGGGGUAACGGCGCACCAAGGCGAAGAUCGGUAUCCGGCCUGAGAGGGCGCACGGACACACUGGAACUGAAACACGGUCCAGACUCCUACGGGAGGCAGCAGUGGGGAAUUUUGCGCAAUGGGGGAAACCCUGACGCAGCAACGCCGCGUGGAGGAUGAAGCCCUUUGGGGCGUAAACUCCUUUCGACCAAGACGAUAAUGACGGUACUGGUGGAAGAAGCACCGGCUAACUCUGUG